UUCUCUUCUCUGUAACCGGCUGCUACAAGUGUUGGAAUCUCCACGUUCUGCAGGAGAGAUGCUCCUCCACCUACAACGGCACUGUAUCCAGAUAAAUUCGUCGUGGAAGGAAACGCCAAUUCCACACCUUUUGGACUUUCUUGUUGAAGCUUGACCGAAUGAAAGAUAGAACUCAAGACUAAAGAUCUGAGGCGGGCAGAGGUUGAGAGCAGAUUAUUCUCUCGUGUGAAUUUCUUGUCCUUACUGACUUUUGCUUUUCUUUUACUUGAGAUGUACUCAUCCACCCCGUUCUCCAGGAAAGGCUUUGUACCUCUCUAGAGGAGCCACCAACCCAGGGUUCCAGUCUUUGCUGCAUCCCUGGCUAAUCUGUUCUACCUCAUGGCCCUGUGACAUCUUUAAUUAGUUUUCACCCAAUGUUACAUAUAUAAAUACAUGCUAACAUGAA
Molecule: long non-coding RNA, 445 nt
Organism: Cavia porcellus (domestic guinea pig)
Lineage: Eukaryota; Metazoa; Chordata; Mammalia; Rodentia; Caviidae
Exons: 3
Source: RefSeq, a predicted model, not a curated record